This 292-nucleotide ribosomal RNA is filed under the name uncultured prokaryote. Its description in RNAcentral is "partial 16S ribosomal RNA". It matches the Rfam family "Bacterial small subunit ribosomal RNA", at positions 505 to 796 of the family's 1533-position model. The record is from RNAcentral.
GUGUCAGCAGCCGCGGUAAUACGGAGGAUCCGAGCGUUAUCCGGAUUUAUUGGGUUUAAAGGGUGCGUAGGCGGCUUUAUAAGUCAGGGGUGAAAGACGGCAGCUUAACUGUCGCAGUGCCUUUGAUACUGUAGAGCUUGAAUGUGGUUGAAGAUGGCGGAAUGAGACAAGUAGCGGUGAAAUGCAUAGAUAUGUCUCAGAACUCCGAUUGCGAAGGCAGCUAUCUAAGUCAUUAUUGACGCUGAUGCACGAAAGCGUGAGGAUCGAACAGGAUUAGAUACCCGGGUAGUCC